Molecule: long non-coding RNA, 880 nt
Organism: Pantherophis guttatus
Lineage: Eukaryota; Metazoa; Chordata; Lepidosauria; Squamata; Colubridae
Source: RefSeq, a predicted model, not a curated record
UACUGCUUCUCCAGUAUCACCUCUUUCUGGCAAAUCUUAUGCUCUGAAGAGCCAAUAAGUAAGAAAUGAGAAAGUAUUUUCUCUAAUGUUAACAAAGUUAGUGUAAUUCACUUUGUCAGGUUGGACUUUUGAAGCUCCAAACUACACUCUCAUAGCAACUCUACAACUCUCUUUCCUGUAUGGCUAGGCAAAAUGACAGGGUAUCAUUAGCUGCCCAGAUUCAUGUAGGCUUAAGGUGAAGCCCAUGUGCAUUAGUAUCUUAUUUUCAAGAUGAAAAGCUGGAAAGUAACCAUUCCAAAAUUAAAAUAUUGUAUUCAUCAUCAUAUUAAUUAUGGAAACAAUUAAAUAAUGAAAUAAAGUCUUUUAAACAUCUACGCAUUAACUGGAAGAUUCUACCACAGAAAUAUCAAAUUUAUGACCUCCCAGGAUGGCACAACACUCUGCUAAUCACCAAUGGUCUUCAGCAAAAUGUGAUACCUCUCCUUCAUAAAGGACUGUGCUGGAUGAUCCAGGUGGCUGUAGAAAAAUGACACCAAGAAACAGAAUGAGCUUCUUGCAAGCAUUAUGUUCCUUUUCUUUUGUAAAAUGGGGGAAAGGAUCUAGCACCUUGGAAAGAUUGGUGUAGAACUUCAAAGCACAGAUAUGAACGUAUGAGAUUUUUCAUGCUACUACAAGAAGAUUACAGUAUACUGUGUCUGAGGCCUGUAUCCUCAAAUUCAGCUUUCAAAUGAACCCUGAAUGUUCUGCUUUCAAUAUUCACUUGAGAAGAAAAGGACUUAGAAACAAAAUCAAUUUAAAGUAUUUAUUUACCAGUAGCUAGUUAGUUAAUUCAUUAAAUUUAUUAGCCGUCCAACUCCAAUAAACUCUUGGAUUGUUUCAC